RNAcentral lists this ribosomal RNA (253 nucleotides) under uncultured bacterium. RNAcentral describes it as "partial 16S ribosomal RNA". It matches the Rfam family "Bacterial small subunit ribosomal RNA", at positions 524 to 776 of the family's 1533-position model. The record is from RNAcentral.
UACGUAGGGACCAAGCGUUGUUCGGAUUUACUGGGCGUAAAGGGCGCGUAGGCGGCUUAACAAGUCACUUGUGAAAUCUCCGGGCUUAACUCGGAACGGCCAAGUGAAACUGUCAAGCUAGAGUGCAGAAGGGGCAAUCGGAAUUCUUGGUGUAGCGGUGAAAUGCGUAGAUAUCAAGAGGAACACCUGAGGUGAAGACGGGUUGCUGGGCUGACACUGACGCUGAGGCGCGAAAGUGUGGGGAGCGAACAGG